Molecule: small nucleolar RNA, 83 nt
Organism: Cannabis sativa
Lineage: Eukaryota; Viridiplantae; Streptophyta; Magnoliopsida; Rosales; Cannabaceae
Source: RefSeq, a predicted model, not a curated record
GAGCAUAUGAUGAGAAAAAUUGGUAUUGAGUUCUGACCUAUACAUGGAGCUUCCAAAUUCGAGCUUUUUAAAACUGAUGCUCA